CUACGGGAGGCAGCAGUGAGGAAUAUUGGUCAAUGGGCGAGAGCCUGAACCAGCCAUCCCGCGUGCAGGAUGACGGCCCUAUGGGUUGUAAACUGCUUUUCCAUACCAAGAAACCUGAUUACGUGUAAUUAGUUGCCGGUAGUAUGGGAAUAAGCAUCGGCUAACUCCGUGCCAGCAGCCGCGGUAAUACGGAGGAUGCAAGCGUUAUCCGGAUUCAUUGGGUUUAAAGGGUGCGCAGGUGGGCUUGUAAGUCAGUGGUGAAAUGUUGCCGCUUAACGGUAAAAUUGCCAUUGAUACUGCAAGUCUUGAAUAUAGUUGAGGUAGGCGGAAUGUGUUGUGUAGCGGUGAAAUGCAUAGAUAUGACACAGAACACCGAUUGCGAAGGCAGCUUACUAAGCUAUUAUUGACGCUGAGGCACGGAAGCGUGGGGAUCGAACAGGAUUAGAUACCCCAGUAGUC
This 459-nucleotide ribosomal RNA is filed under the name uncultured bacterium. RNAcentral describes it as "partial 16S ribosomal RNA". It matches the Rfam family "Bacterial small subunit ribosomal RNA", at positions 339 to 795 of the family's 1533-position model. The record is from RNAcentral.